This 248-nucleotide ribosomal RNA is filed under the name uncultured Ruminococcus sp. Its description in RNAcentral is "partial 16S ribosomal RNA". It matches the Rfam family "Bacterial small subunit ribosomal RNA", at positions 524 to 771 of the family's 1533-position model. The record is from RNAcentral. Lineage: Bacteria; Bacillati; Bacillota; Clostridia; Eubacteriales; Oscillospiraceae.
UACGUAGGGAGCGAGCGUUGUCCGGAAUUACUGGGUGUAAAGGGAGUGUAGGCGGGACUGUAAGUCAGAUGUGAAAAUUAGGGGCUCAACCCCUAACCUGCAUUUGAAACUGCUUCCCUCGAGUAUCGGAGAGGUAACCGGAAUUCCGAGUGUAGCGGUGAAAUGCGUAGAUAUUCGGAGGAACACCGGUGGCGAAGGCGGCCAACUGGGCUUUAACUGACGCUGAGGCUCGAAAGUGUGGGGAGCAA